This 443-nucleotide ribosomal RNA is filed under the name uncultured bacterium. Its description in RNAcentral is "bacterial SSU rRNA". It matches the Rfam family "Bacterial small subunit ribosomal RNA", at positions 331 to 792 of the family's 1533-position model. The record is from RNAcentral.
CCAGACUCCUACGGGAGGCAGCAGUAGGGAAUCUUUCACAAUGGGCGAAAGCCUGAUGGAGCAACGCCGCGUGCAGGAUGAAGGCCUUCGGGUUGUAAACUGCUUUUAUAAGCGAGAAAUAUGAUGGUAACUUAUGAAUAAGCAUCGGCUAACUCCGUGCCAGCAGCCGCGGUAAUACGGAGGAUGCGAGCGUUAUCCGGAUUUAUUGGGUUUAAAGGGUGCGUAGGCGGGUUAUCAAGUCAGCGGUAAAAUCGUGGAGCUCAACUCCAUCCAGCCGUUGAAACUGAUGAUCUUGAGUGGGCGAGAAGUAUGCGGAAUGCGUGGUGUAGCGGUGAAAUGCAUAGAUAUCACGCAGAACUCCGAUUGCGAAGGCAACAUACCGGCGCCCAACUGACGCUGAAGCACGAAAGCGUGGGUAUCGAACAGGAUUAGAUACCCCCGUA